CUGGACGGGACCGCUGGAGAACAUGUAGAACUCCCCUGCUCAAAGCAGGGGCAACUAGGGCCUGUUGUUUAGGACCAUAUUGUCAGGUUUUGAAUAUCUCCAAGGAUGGAGACUCCACAAACCUGCAUUGAUAAGAUCCCUCUGGCCCUUCCUUUUUAAAGGCUGGAUAGUCACAGCUGCUUCUUGUAUGACAGAUGCUCCAAUUUGCCCACAUCAGCUCCUCAUCUGUGUCAGAAAGUUAUCAUCAGCACUCCAGAGACCUCCUGGUGCCUUAGUGUUGUCCCUGCAGCAGGUAUUGGGGUAGUUGAAGUCCACCAGGGGACCAGGGCCUGUAAACAUGAGACUUCUUCAACUUGUCUGAAGCAGGCCUCGCCUAGUUCUUCCUGAUUCCACAGUCUGUAGCAGACACCCUCAGCAACAUCACCCAGGUGGGUCAGGCCCCUAAUCCUAACACGUAACCCUGAGGUAGCUCGCUGCCCACCCGCAGGCAGAGGUCGAUGCCUUCCUGCUGCUCUCUAUUGUCCUGGGAGACCCCUGCUCCUCGCUUUCCCAGCUGUCCUUUCUGAAGAGCCUGUACCCAUCCAUCACGGCACUCCUGUUCUGUGAACUACCCACCCUGUGAUCCCAAUGAGACUGUAGCCCUGCAACUGCACACAAGCCCCUACUUCCUCCUGUGUAUUCACCAGCCUGUAUUCGUAGGUGUGCAGGCCCUCUGGAGGGAAAUCCUGUCAAGCUGAGCUCCCAACAGAAUUGUGACAUCCCCCAUCAUGCUCAUUUGUGUGGUCAAGGGACAACGUGGUGGUGUCCCCGUCUGUGGCUGGUCCUGCAGAGCUGCAGGACGGGGAUGUUCCCACAAGCAUUGUGAGCAGGAUUCUCCUCUAACCCUUUUUUCACCCGAGCAGCUUUUUGGAAAGGUGAGGCAUCGCUCAGGAGUUGUGAAGGGCUUAAUUCACACUGCAGCAGCUCAGUAUUUGGGGUCUCGCAAGAAAAGCACUGGCUCCUAGUGUUCGAGUCAGCUUGUAGGGCUGGAAGGAGCUUUCAUCUCUCUGCUUCAAAACUAAAUUAGCUGGAAACCACAGGGAAGAAAGCCGAAAAUCUAUUUUUAUAAAGCUUUUUU
RNAcentral lists this long non-coding RNA (1117 nucleotides) under Anser brachyrhynchus (Pink-footed goose). RNAcentral describes it as "lncRNA (ENSABRG00000014561.1)". The record is from RNAcentral. Lineage: Eukaryota; Metazoa; Chordata; Aves; Anseriformes; Anatidae.